GUUGAUGCCCUGGCAGCCAUCUUAGAUAAAGCCAAGGUUGCGGGCCAUAUCAAGGGCAUAGUCCCGCAUCUAGUAGGAGGGAAUGGGAUUUCCCUCCUCCAAUAUGCGGAUGACACCAUUAUCAUGGUGGAAGGUUCUGUGAGCGACAUCAUGAACCUGAAGUUCCUCCUGCUCUGCUUUCAGCAGAUGUCUUGCCUCAGGAUUAACUUCAAUAAGAGUGCGGUGAUGGUCUUGGGCUACUCCGAUGAUGAACGGUGGAGCAUCGCGGGCCGUCUUAACUGUCUGCUUGGGUGCUUCCCCACGACCUAUUUGGGGAUACCCAUUAGUGACACGAGGCUCACGGUGGCCGAGUUGCGCCCCAUGGUGGGCAAGCUCCAGCACUGCAUUGAGCCUUGGCAGGGCGGUGGCUCUCCAAAGCAGCCCGAACUGUGCUCAUUAACUCGUCCCUAUCCAGCCUGCUCUUAUUCAUUAUGA
This 474-nucleotide ribosomal RNA is filed under the name Triticum aestivum (bread wheat). RNAcentral describes it as "partial small subunit ribosomal RNA". Lineage: Eukaryota; Viridiplantae; Streptophyta; Magnoliopsida; Poales; Poaceae. The record is from RNAcentral.